RNAcentral lists this ribosomal RNA (813 nucleotides) under Triticum aestivum (bread wheat). RNAcentral describes it as "partial small subunit ribosomal RNA". Lineage: Eukaryota; Viridiplantae; Streptophyta; Magnoliopsida; Poales; Poaceae. The record is from RNAcentral.
AUGGAUGGAUUUUGUAGGCCCAUAAGCCCGCAAAUCCAGGUGGUGCCGAAAGGCGACGGCUUCUCAGGCAGCUUGAAAUACAACCUUGGCGCCCGAAGCCGCCAGCUUGGCACGUACCUGAGCGCCGACGAAGACGGGCAUGGCGUCUCCCUCCACCCCCGCCGGGCGUCGAUGAACACGGCUUGGGCGGUGCACUUGCACCAGGGCCAGAACGUGCAGUGUCUGCUCCUCCUCAGCACCGCCUACAGCGGCUACCUUGCCGCCACGGACGCGCCGGCGCCGUUCGGCCACCGCGGGCUCCGCGUCGAGCAGCGCAACUACGACCAUCCGGAGGUGAUUGCAAUCCUUUGGUUUGCCAUCCCUUCAGAAUCUGGGGACGAAGUCCUGCUUCGCCACAUCAACCGUGGCUGCCUCCGUGCCAACGGGAGGUACCUCCGCUGGAACAACGGCGUUAGCGUCCAGGCCAUCAACAACAUCGCAAACGUCACCACGAUGAUGCACUGGGUCGUGGAGCACACCCCCGCCAGGGAGGGCAUGCCUCCCCUUCCAGCUCCGACUGUGUUGCAGCUUCACUUCCCCGCCGCCAUGUUGCUGAACGUGGCCACGCGGCUGAUCCACUACGUGUGGCUGAACGACGACGUCGACGGGCCCCUCAUCGAGCACGGAGAGUUCUUCUUCGUUGGGAGGUCCGUGUUCCGCCUGAGGAACGAGCUGGCCAUGCAGCUGGGCGCCAUCAUGGACGUCUCCGACCUCGUCAUGUGCCUCCGCACAGCCCACGCGGAGCUGCGGUACCCGGAUGUCCAUGCAGAGUAG